GAUGAACGCUGGCGGCGUGCCUAAUACAUGCAAGUCGAGCGAACGGGCGAGAAGCUUGCUUGUCUGAUGUUAGCGGCGGACGGGUGAGUAACACGUGGAUAACCUACCUAUAAGACUGGGAUAACUUCGGGAAACCGGAGCUAAUACCGGAUGAUAUUUUGAACCGCAUGGUUCAAAAGUGAAAGACGGUCUUGCUGUCACUUAUAGAUGGAUCCGCGCUGCAUUAGCUAGUUGGUAAGGUAACGGCUUACCAAGGCAACGAUGCAUAGCCGACCUGAGAGGGUGAUCGGCCACACUGGAAGUGAGACACGGUCCAGACUCCUACGGGAGGCAGCAGUCGGGAAUCUUCCGCAAUGGGCGAAAGCCUGACGGAGCAACGCCGCGUGAGUGAUGAAGGUCUUCGGAUCGUAAAACUCUGUUAUUAGGGAAGAACAUAUGUGUAAGUAACUGUGCACAUCUUGACGGUACCGAAUCAGAAAGCCACGGCUAACUACGUG
RNAcentral lists this ribosomal RNA (497 nucleotides) under uncultured bacterium. Its description in RNAcentral is "partial 16S ribosomal RNA". It matches the Rfam family "Bacterial small subunit ribosomal RNA", at positions 28 to 507 of the family's 1533-position model. The record is from RNAcentral.